This 429-nucleotide ribosomal RNA is filed under the name Bacteroidota bacterium. Its description in RNAcentral is "Bacteroidetes bacterium partial 16S ribosomal RNA". It matches the Rfam family "Bacterial small subunit ribosomal RNA", at positions 355 to 776 of the family's 1533-position model. The record is from RNAcentral. Lineage: Bacteria; Pseudomonadati; Bacteroidota.
UAGGGAAUCUUCCGCAAUGGACGCAAGUCUGACGGAGCAACGCCGCGUGAGUGAAGAAGGAUUUCGGUUCGUAAAACUCUGUUGUUAGAGAAGAACAGCGCAUAGAGUAACUGUUAUGCGUGUGACGGUAUCUAACCAGAAAGCCACGGCUAACUACGUGCCAGCAGCCGCGGUAAUACGUAGGUGGCAAGCGUUGUCCGGAUUUAUUGGGCGUAAAGCGAGCGCAGGCGGUCAAUUAAGUCUGAUGUGAAAGCCCCCGGCUCAACCGGGGGGGGUCAUUGGAAACUGGUUGGCUUGAGUGCAGCAGAGGAGAGUGGAAUUCCAGGUGUGGCGGUGAAAUGCGUAGAUAUAUGGAGGAACACCAGUGGCGAAGGCGACUCUCUGGUCUGUAACUGACGCUGGGGUUCGAAAGCGUGGGUAGCAAAAAGG